Molecule: unclassified non-coding RNA, 296 nt
Filed under: uncultured Hyphodontia
Lineage: Eukaryota; Fungi; Basidiomycota; Agaricomycetes; Corticiales; Corticiaceae
Description: sequence contains ITS2
Rfam family: 5.8S ribosomal RNA (bases 1-52)
Source: RNAcentral
AACGCACCUUGCGCUCCUUGGUAUUCCGAGGAGCAUGCCUGUUUGAGUGUCAUUAAAUCAUCAAUUCUCAACUUCUGUAAUGGUUGUUGUUGAAUUGGACUUGGGGACUUGCUGGUUCUAGUGCUGAACCGGCUUCCCUCAAAUGCAUUAGCUGAAGUCUUACAAGCAGCGUAUAUGCGGUGUGAUAAUAUCUUCACUGUAUUGCUCUUGUUGAAUUUGGCUUCUAACGGUCCUUCAAUUGGACAACACUUUGACAAUUUGACCUCAAAUCAGGUAGGACUACCCGCUGAACUUAA